GACGAACGCUGGCGGCGUGCCCAAUACAUGCAAGUCGAGCGGAACUUAGAAAGCUUGCUUUCUAAGUUUAGCGGCGGACGGGUGAGUAACACGUGGGCAACCUGCCUAUAAGACUGGGAUAACUUCGGGAAACCGGAGCUAAUACCGGAUAAUAUAAAAGAUCACAUGGUCUUUUAUUGUAAAGAUGGCUUCGGCUAUCACUUAUAGAUGGGCCCGCGGCGCAUUAGCUAGUUGGUGAGGUAAUGGCUCACCAAGGCGACGAUGCGUAGCCGACCUGAGAGGGUGAUCGGCCACACUGGGACUGAGACACGGCCCAGACUCCUACGGGAGGCAGCAGUAGGGAAUCUUCCCCAAUGGACGAAAGUCUGACGGAGCAACGCCGCGUGAACGAUGAAGGCCUUCGGGUCGUAAAGUUCUGUUGUUAGGGAAGAACAAGUAUCGUUCGAAUAGGGCGGUACCUUGACGGUACCUAACCAGAAAGCCACGGCUAACCACGUG
Molecule: ribosomal RNA, 498 nt
Filed under: uncultured bacterium
Lineage: Bacteria
Description: bacterial SSU rRNA
Rfam family: Bacterial small subunit ribosomal RNA
Source: RNAcentral